RNAcentral lists this ribosomal RNA (83 nucleotides) under uncultured bacterium. Its description in RNAcentral is "partial 16S ribosomal RNA". The record is from RNAcentral.
UCACGAAAGUCGGCUGCACCUGAAAUUGCUGUGCUAACCCGCAAGGGAGGCAGGCACUUACGGUGUGGUCGAUGAUUGGGGUG